AUGGGUCUCUUGGCAUCAGGCUCUAUUUUUACAGCUUGUACAUUAAUGCUACCAAAGUUUAAACAAUUGCAAGGGACCAAAAGCUCCGAAGGAAAAACGCGUGCCGGGUUUUGCUCGGCGAGCACGCUCCGGGCCCGCGCAGAUGGCAUUGCCAAGCGCCCCGGCGCGAGCCGAGGCUGCGGCCCUGAGCGGAGAGGCGCGGGGUCGGACGGGCAUCCAGGCACCGGCUGGCUGGGGGCUUCGGCAGCCCGAAAUUCUGCCCGGUUCCCCUCUCAAAAAAGAUCCAAAAACGUCCACAGCCGAUCAAAAAAUUGUCUAGAUUCCCCUUGGAAAACACUGAAAAAAGGAGCUGCAGGGUCCCUCAGAAGAGAUGAGAAGAUCCCUGCCGUCUUCCUCGCUCAGCCCUUGCUCUCGGCGCCCAUCUCUGCGGCAGCAUCAGUCCCACGCGGCAGCAUUGGUCCCGGGUGGCAGCGUCGGUCCCGGGCGGCAGCAUCGGUCCCGGGCGGCAGCGUUGGUCCCGCACCUGCCACCAGCCCUUGGAAGCGGCUCCCUUGUGCGCGCAGAGCCCUCGGCCCGGAGGCCCCUUCUCACCCCCUGAAACACUUUCCAGCAGGAAAAAAAAAUCUAAACUAUUCUCUACAUCUAAAUCUGUACUUUUUAAAAUUGAAAAUAUUAAAAAAAAAUGAUAUGGCUAAAAAACUGGCCUGGGUCAGUCCUGUCAUUGCUGGCAACCUGAAAAAAGUCGGAACCAAAGUGCUUUUUUCGUCCCGGAAAGCUUUGGUUUCAGCUGAAAAGCAUCCUGACAAAACGUGCCGGUUUUUCCUAACCCGCAUGGCCUUGGCAGGGCUCCUGCGGGCUGGGGACACCGCAGCCGGAGCAGGCUGGGGGAAGAGCCGCACCGGCCAGGACCCAGCAACCAGCGUUAGAGCAGCCCUGACGCUGCUCUGGCUUGCGGGGCCGGUGCCUCGGGAGGCAGCGGUGCCGAUUUGCCUCCGAGCUCCCUUCGGGCGCCUCUCACCCGCGUCGCCCGCACGCGGCAGGUCUCGUCCGCGUGCCGGAGCCGCGGCCGGCUCCGUACGUGGCGUUCGCCCUGGCGGGGCUGAGUCGGGCUGCCGGCACUGA
This 1122-nucleotide long non-coding RNA is filed under the name Apteryx haastii (Great spotted kiwi). RNAcentral describes it as "lncRNA (ENSAHAG00000008545.1)". Lineage: Eukaryota; Metazoa; Chordata; Aves; Apterygiformes; Apterygidae. The record is from RNAcentral.